CGCGCAGGCGGCCCGGCAAGUGAGACGUGAAAGGCUCUGGCUCAACCAGGGAAAUGCGUCUCAUACUGCCGGGCUUGAGGACGGGAGAGGAGACGGGAAUUCUCGGUGUAGCGGUGAAAUGCACUGAUAUCGGGAAGAACACCAGUGGCGAAGGCGCGUCUCUGGCCCGUUCCUGACGCUCAGGCGCGAAAGCUGGGGGGAGCAAACA
Molecule: ribosomal RNA, 208 nt
Filed under: uncultured bacterium
Lineage: Bacteria
Description: partial 16S ribosomal RNA
Rfam family: Bacterial small subunit ribosomal RNA
Source: RNAcentral